RNAcentral lists this ribosomal RNA (229 nucleotides) under uncultured bacterium. RNAcentral describes it as "partial 16S ribosomal RNA". It matches the Rfam family "Bacterial small subunit ribosomal RNA", at positions 568 to 796 of the family's 1533-position model. The record is from RNAcentral.
UACGUAGGUGGUUGCGUGUGUCGGAUGGGAAAUCCCACAGCUCAACUGUGGAACUGCAUCCGAAACUGCGGGACUUGAGUGCAGGAGGGGAGAGCGGAAUUCUUGGUGUAGCGGUGAAAUGCGUUGAUAUCAAGAAGAACACCGGCGGCGAAGGCGGCUCUCUGGAAUGUUACUGACACUGAGGUACGAAAGCUGGGGGAGCGAACAGGAUUAGAUACCCUGGUAGUCC